Oncorhynchus keta (chum salmon) is the source of this 717-nucleotide long non-coding RNA. RefSeq lists it as uncharacterized. The transcript has 5 exons. Lineage: Eukaryota; Metazoa; Chordata; Actinopteri; Salmoniformes; Salmonidae. The record is from RefSeq and is a predicted model, not a curated record.
AUGGGGAGCUGGAGGACUAGAGGGGAAGAAGCGAGUGGUAGGGGUGGUGGAGUGGGGGGCUGGAGGACUAGAGGGGAAGAAGCAGGUGUUAAGGGUGUUGGAGUGGGGGGCUGGAGGACUAGAUGAGGAGAUGAAGCGGGUGGUAAGGGUGGUGGAGUGGGGGGCUGGAGGACUAGAGGAGGGGAAGAAGCAGGUGGUAAGGGUGGUGGAGUGGGGGGCUGGAGGACUAGAGGAGGGGAAGAGGCAGGUGGUAAGGGUGUUGGAGUGGGGGGCUGGAGGACUAGAGGAGGGGAAGAGGCGGGUUGUAGGGGUGGUGGAGUGGGGUGUUGGAGGACUAGAGGAGGGGAAGAAGCAGGUGGUAAGGGUGGUGGAGUGGGGGGCUGGAGGACUAGAGGGGAAGAAGCGGGUGGUAAGGGUGGUGGAGUGGGGGCUGGAGGACUAGAUGAGGAGAAGAAGCGGGUUGUAGGGGUGGUGGAGUGGGGUGCUGGAGGACUAGAGGAGGGGAAGAAGCAGGUGGUAAGGGUGGUGGAGUGGGGGGCUGGAGGACUAGAGGAGGGGAAGAGGCAGGUGGUAAGGGUGGUGGAGUGGGGGGCUGGAGGACUAGAGGAGGGGAAGAGGCAGGUGGUAAGGGUGGUGGAGUGGGGGGCUGGAGGACUAGAGGAGGGGAAGAGGCAGGUGGUAAGGGUGGUGGAGUGGGGGGCUGGAGGACUAGAGGAG